Molecule: long non-coding RNA, 327 nt
Filed under: Androctonus crassicauda
Lineage: Eukaryota; Metazoa; Arthropoda; Arachnida; Scorpiones; Buthidae
Source: RNAcentral
AUUUCUAUACCACAACUAAUCAAGAUCUAGAAGGAGAAUUAAAGUUUAUAUACAAUAUAGGAAAACAGCACAGCUAUCUAUACCCAUGGGUUUUUGAAAAGUAUACAAGCCAAAGUACAGCAGAUGCUAAGUGACGUAACUUCUACCAGCCAAGGCGCGCAUGACGAAACCGAGAGUAGCGAAGGAUACGUAACAUUGCCAGCUCCAAUAGCAAGAUGCAAGACUGUAAAAAACAUACUAAAGAAGAUAAAAAGGAGACUAAUAGUGCGAAGAACGCAGACAAUUUUUAAUAAAAUCAGAAAUGAAAAAGACAGGAGAACAGAGGCG